AACGAACGCUGGCGGCAUGCCUAACACAUGCAAGUCGAACGGGAUCCUAGCUUGCUAGGUGAGAGUGGCGGACGGGUGAGUAACACGUGGGAAUCUGCCUUUUGGUUCGGGAUAACCGCGGGAAACUGCGGCUAAUACCGAAUGCCCUCGUGAGAGGAAAGAUUUAUCGCCAGAAGAGGAGCCCGCGUCCGAUUAGGUAGUUGGUGGGGUAAAGGCCUACCAAGCCGACGAUCGGUAGCUGGUCUGAGAGGAUGAUCAGCCACACUGGGACUGAGAUACGGCCCAGACUCCUACGGGAGGCAGCAGUGGGGAAUAUUGGACAAUGGGGGCAACCCUGAUCCAGCAAUGCCGCGUGAGUGAUGAAGGCCUUAGGGUUGUAAAGCUCUUUUGCCAGGGAGAUGAUGACUGUACCUGGAGAAUAAGCUCCGGCUAACUCCGUGCCAGCAGCCGCGGUAAU
RNAcentral lists this ribosomal RNA (457 nucleotides) under uncultured bacterium. RNAcentral's name for it is "bacterial SSU rRNA". It matches the Rfam family "Bacterial small subunit ribosomal RNA", at positions 29 to 524 of the family's 1533-position model. The record is from RNAcentral.